RNAcentral lists this long non-coding RNA (216 nucleotides) under Phoenix dactylifera (date palm). Its description in RNAcentral is "long non-coding RNA (PDAC_LNC018207)". Lineage: Eukaryota; Viridiplantae; Streptophyta; Magnoliopsida; Arecales; Arecaceae. The record is from RNAcentral.
GAUAAAUGGAUAAGAUGUUAGCUUCUAAUUCCAAAAUUUUUGUACCAGUUUUGGAUAAGAUGUUAGUUUCAUAUCCAUUUCACUGAAUUUAGGCUCUAGAGAAACAUAUAUCCACCAAUACAAACCCAUUCCAUCGUUUCAGGUCUCAACUCAUGCAGCCCCGGCUGGGAGAAACCGGAGUGAGAGUGUUAAAAGACGGAAAAAAAAAAAAAAAAA